GACGAACGCUGGCGGCGUGCUUAACACAUGCAAGUCGAGCGGUAAGGCCCUUUCGGGGGUACGACGAGCGGCGAACGGGUGAGUAACACGUGGGUGACCUGCCCUCCAGCUCUGGGAUAAGCCUGGGAAACCGGGUCUAAUACUGGAUAUGACUCCAUGACGCAUGUUGUGGGGUGGAGAGCCUUGUGCGGCUGAGGAUGGGCCCGCGGCCUAUCAGCUUGUUGGUGGGGUGAUGGCCUACCAAGGCGACGACGGGUAGCCGG
This 263-nucleotide ribosomal RNA is filed under the name uncultured bacterium. Its description in RNAcentral is "partial 16S ribosomal RNA". It matches the Rfam family "Bacterial small subunit ribosomal RNA", at positions 28 to 290 of the family's 1533-position model. The record is from RNAcentral.